This 266-nucleotide ribosomal RNA is filed under the name uncultured bacterium. RNAcentral describes it as "partial 16S ribosomal RNA". It matches the Rfam family "Bacterial small subunit ribosomal RNA", at positions 524 to 776 of the family's 1533-position model. The record is from RNAcentral.
UACGGAGGGUGCGAGCGUUGUCCGGAAUCAUUGGGCGUAAAGGGCGCGUAGGUGGCCCGGUCAGUCUUUGGUGAAAGCGCGGGGCUCAACCCUGCGUCGGCCAGGGAUACUGCCGCGGCUCGAGCACUGUAAAGGCAGGCGGAAUUCCGGGUGUAGCGGUGGAAUGCGUAGAGAUCCGGAAGAACACCGGUGGCGAAGGCGGCCUGCUGGGCAGUAAGGGGAAACCCGGCUGACACUGAGGCGCGACAGCGUGGGGAGCAAACAGG